This 284-nucleotide unclassified non-coding RNA is filed under the name plant metagenome. Its description in RNAcentral is "partial contains small subunit ribosomal RNA, internal transcribed spacer 1, and 5.8S ribosomal RNA". The stretch from base 1 to 53 matches the Rfam family "Eukaryotic small subunit ribosomal RNA", at positions 1778 to 1831 of the family's 1831-position model. The record is from RNAcentral.
GGAAGUAAAAGUGUAACAAGGUUUCCGUAGGUGAACCUGCGGAAGGAUCAUUAUUGUAUAACCGAGGUGCGAGGGCUGUCGCUGACCCGAAAGGUCGUGCACGCCCGAGUGCCCUCACACACAUCCAUCUCACCCCUAUGUGCACCACCGCGUGGGUCCCCCUUUGGCUUGUUCGGAGGGGGGCUUACGUUUUCACACAAACUUUGUAUGCAGUGUAGAAUGUAUUUUUUGUUUUUGCGAUCACGCAAUCAAUACAACUUUCAACAACGGAUCUCUUGGCUCUC